RNAcentral lists this ribosomal RNA (324 nucleotides) under Cercozoa sp. Its description in RNAcentral is "SSU rRNA". The stretch from base 111 to 324 matches the Rfam family "Eukaryotic small subunit ribosomal RNA", at positions 741 to 955 of the family's 1831-position model. The record is from RNAcentral. Lineage: Eukaryota; Cercozoa.
GAUUUCUGGUAUGACGUUACUAGUCCGCCUGGGUCCACCAGUGUGAGUACUGGUUUGCGUCUGCCAUCCUUGUAGAAAAGCAUUACUGCCGUUCGCGGUGGGUAGUGUUGAUCUACAUCUUUUACUUUGAAAAAAUUAGAGUGUUUCAAGCAGGCUUUAUGCUAUGAAUACAUUAGCAUGGAAUAAUAAUUUAGGACUUCGGUUCUAUUUUGUUGGUUUCUAGGACUGAAGUAAUGAUUGAUAGGGAUAGUUGGGGGUGCUAGUAUUCAGCGGCCAGAGGUGAAAUUCUCGGAUUCGCUGAAGACUAACUUAUGCGAAAGCAUU